This is a non-coding RNA of Melanotaenia boesemani (Boeseman's rainbowfish), 386 nucleotides long. NCBI's taxonomy places the organism in Eukaryota, Metazoa, Chordata, Actinopteri, Atheriniformes, Melanotaeniidae. The record is from the annotation of a RefSeq genome assembly.
ACAUGACUUUGAUCUGCGUCCUCAUCUGGACUCUCCUCUGCUGCUGCUUCACAGAGUCCAGAGGACAGGUCACAGUGACUCAGCCUGCAGCAGUGACAUCUGAUCUGGGAGGAACCGUCACCAUCACAUGUAAAACCAGUCAGGAUCUUUCUUGUGAUUCUCUUAGUUACUGUUUAAACUGGUACCAACAGAAAGAUGGACAACCUCCUAAACUCCUCAUAUCAUUUGCCAGCAUCAGAGAAUCAGGGAUUCCAGAUCGUUUUACAGGCAGUGGCUAUAACUCUGACUUCACUCUGACCAUCAGUGGAGUUCAGGCUGAAGAUGCUGCAGUUUAUUACUGUCAGAGUCAUCAUGAAAUCAACAGUCAGUAUGUGUUCACACAGUGA